Molecule: transfer RNA, 72 nt
Filed under: Ceuthmochares aereus
Lineage: Eukaryota; Metazoa; Chordata; Aves; Cuculiformes; Cuculidae
Description: tRNA-Glu
Source: RNAcentral
GUUCCUGUAGUUGAAGUCUUACAACAUUGGCUUUUCAGGCCAUUAAUCUUGGAGAAAGGCCAAGUAGGAAUU